This 603-nucleotide long non-coding RNA is filed under the name Lactuca sativa (garden lettuce). RNAcentral describes it as "long non-coding RNA (LSAT_LNC002871)". Lineage: Eukaryota; Viridiplantae; Streptophyta; Magnoliopsida; Asterales; Asteraceae. The record is from RNAcentral.
UCAAAAAUUAAAUUUUUUUCAUGUUUCUAGUCUUUAUUUUAAAAAAAUAAUUGCAUACAUACCCAAUAGAUUCACAAACCAAACGACAUACACAUAAUGACAUGAAAACUGAAAUUCUAAAACUGGACAAUUUAUAUGGGUGAUUUUUUCUGAGUUAAAUAUUCACUACAAUUCACCAAAGGCUACAACUUUGCGAUUUUUUCCCCAAAUGAUGUUAAUUCUCCAAUGAUUUAUGUGUUCUCCCGCCCACUUACUUCUGGUUCAAACCCUAAAAAAUCAAACAAACAUGGUGAUAGAAGCCACAUAAAUCAGAAGCGAGGGGAAGCAAAAAUCUUGGAGAAAUCAGAAGCGAGGAGAAGUAGAAACCUUUGAGAAAUCAAAAGCUUUGAAGAACCGAUGCUGGAGAGGCAAAAUCCAGCGAAGUUGAUUCUGAUAGGGCAGAAGCCAGCGAUGCAUAGGCCGGCAAAGAAGCAGAAGUCGCUAAAGAGAAUGUCGUUCAAGGAAGGGUGUUGCUCAAACCAUGUUCGUUCUAGGCAAAGGAGGGUUUUCGUGGAAAUUAAUUCAAUCAGCGAUUGUAUUUGGCUGAUUCGGCCGGACUCUUUU